This is a non-coding RNA of Hordeum vulgare subsp. vulgare (domesticated barley), 136 nucleotides long. The record is from Rfam. Lineage: Eukaryota; Viridiplantae; Streptophyta; Magnoliopsida; Poales; Poaceae.
CACAUACUCCCUUCAUCUUAAAAUUAUUGUCUUAGGUUUAUUUAGAAAUGAAUGUAUAUAAAUACUAAAACGUGACUAUGUACAUUCAUAUUUAGACAAACCUACGACAAGAAUUUUGAGACGGAGGAAGUAUAUU